GCGCAACCCUUGUCCUUAGUUACCAGCACGUUAUGGUGGGCGACUCUAAGGAGACUGCCGGUGGACAAACCGAGGAAGGUGGGGAUGACGUCAAGUCAUCAUGGCCCUUACGGCCUGGGCUACACACGUGCUACAAUGGUCGGUACAAAGGGUUGCCAAGCCGCGAGGUGGAGCUAAUCCCAUAAAACCGAUCGUAGUCCGGAUCGCAGUCUGCAACUCGACUGCGUGAAGUCGGAAUCGCUAGUAAUCGUGAAUCAGAAUGUCACGGUGAAUACGUUCCCGGGCCUU
RNAcentral lists this ribosomal RNA (288 nucleotides) under uncultured Pseudomonas sp. RNAcentral's name for it is "partial 16S ribosomal RNA". It matches the Rfam family "Bacterial small subunit ribosomal RNA", at positions 1096 to 1382 of the family's 1533-position model. Lineage: Bacteria; Pseudomonadati; Pseudomonadota; Gammaproteobacteria; Pseudomonadales; Pseudomonadaceae. The record is from RNAcentral.